UGUAUUCACUACUGUAAGUCACUCUGGAGAAGAGUGUCUGCUAAAUGAUGUAAG
Non-coding RNA from Salmo salar (Atlantic salmon), 54 nucleotides. NCBI's taxonomy places the organism in Eukaryota, Metazoa, Chordata, Actinopteri, Salmoniformes, Salmonidae. The record is from Rfam.